Long non-coding RNA from Odontomachus brunneus, 5737 nucleotides. RefSeq lists it as uncharacterized. The transcript has 5 exons. Lineage: Eukaryota; Metazoa; Arthropoda; Insecta; Hymenoptera; Formicidae. The record is from RefSeq and is a predicted model, not a curated record.
CGGCGGCGCCACCGUUCGACGACGGGAGCGCGCGCGGCUCCCCCGAAAGCGCGUCGCCGGUGUGUGUGCCGCGCUGCGAAUUUUAUUGUUUGUUUUUGCAAAAGUUCUUGCGGCAUUAAAGGGAAAAAAAGACGAAGGAGACGCGAGAUCUAUAGGAGGAAUGCACGGUCGGAAGGAAGAGCGCGGAAACUGGGACAGCCUGUGAACCAAGGACGGUGCAUAGUAAACAAGAGUAAUUGCGUCAGUGCUCGAGGAAUGGAUGAUCAAAGGAAAGGAGUAGACCUCUAUUUCUGCCUGCCACGGAUAUUAGCAUCAUACACCAGGCGGCCGGUGGCCCGUCAGGGGGGUUGAAAUUCGGUUAGGGCACGCCGAUCCCUCGUGAGCCAUCGGAUCGCGACCCAGAAGAGAGAGGGAGAGGCGUGGCCUCGCGAAUCGGCCGACGGUCGGUCGCAUUCUGUGCAGACUCCUAUGCGGGCUCCAGAGGAACGACGCGAAAACCGUGAUGCUCCCCUCCGUCCGUCCGUCCGUCCGUCCGGCGUUCCCGCCGCUUACCGGUGUCGUCGUGGUGUACAUACGCUCCUCCCUGGUCCUCGUCGCCGUCGCAAAAACGCGCCCCUGCCUCACGUUGCUCCUGCCAGCGGGAAGCGGCCUGGGGGUUGGCGGGAAAGCCGGGCGAGGGGGGAUGGGGUAGGACGCGUCAUAAAAACCCAUCUUCCCUCGUGCCCCUUUUCCUCCCGCCACCUUAGCCUCAGCACCGUUCAACCCCUAGUAGUAGGUACGUACACCACGCCACCCCUCUCUCUCUCUCUCUCUCUUUCUCUUUCUCUUCUUUUUUCUCGGUCUCUUUGCCUGCCGAGGAACCGACAUUUUUGCAGGGUGGUACCCGAAACCUCGUCGACACGGGGUUCCCUGUAAAAUUCACGUCCUAUCCAGAAUCUUUGGUCCCCGCUCUCCUCGUCCGCUCCCUCAUGCGUGCACGUACUGGCGUUUGAACGUUACAGGGCGGCGCGAAGGGUGAGGAAACCCGCCAUGACAACUGUUUACCGGCGUGAUUUGAUAACGCGAGCGUCGAAGGAGGUAGAGAUCGCAAGAAUAAUUCUCGCGCCGUGGUGCGCCGGCAGAUGGAUGAGCAAGAUCGGAGCAAAUAAAAUCAAAGUGAAGAAUGGACAAGCCGUGAUGGAAAACAUGAGGUCCCGUCAGCUUCACGGAGCAAAGACCACGUGAAAUUAAAUCGAGCAUCGACCUGAUUUUAUCGUUUACUAUCACUCUCGCAGUUCAACUCGCCGCUUUAUCUUCGGCCAAAAAGGGAGUCGGAAAUUAUUAACUGUUUGAUGUCAAAUCUGGUAGUCGCGGAGUAUUUUCGUGUGAGAAUGCUCUCUACAAACAAAUUUUUAAAUAGCCAGCACUUGUUACGAUGAAGUAACGAGGUAUUUAAUUAAACGUAGAGUCGACGAGACACAGCCGCCGCACAGUCGUCGUCGCCUCGCGAGCGACCGUAAAUUUUCGAAAUCUCGCGUCUCCUCGCGGAAUCUCAGUUUCUUUCCCGGCGCUUCUCUCUUCUCUCCCCCUGCUCAUCCCUUUCUUUUCGUUCACCCACCCCCCGUUCGUCGCCUCUCGCCACCACGGGCUGCUCUUUUUCCUCCUUCGCCGACAUCGCUACGAUUCUUUUUGCCGCCCCCAGUCCGCCGCCACCCCGUGCUCCUGUCGUUCUUAUUUUUGCCCCCGACCCUCCUUCUCCGCCCGCCCGCUCAUCCCGACUGCGCUUUCUCCCCCGCUGCCCCUCCCUCCCGCCCCCACUCCCACAGCCUUUUUCCGGACCGGUAGGAAAAGCGCGAGAGACUUUUAUUUUCGCACGUAGAAAAAGCAAGGCGGAAAGGGAGGUUUUGCCAGCAGACCGUUACUGCGAGGCGGACGUUUUUUGCGACAGCUCCGUAAUCCGUGAAAGGGUGAGAGAGCGCCGGUAGAAACCAAAGGCGCCGCGGCGCUCGCUCGUUCGCUCGCUCACUCGCUCAUUCGCAAUUUGCAUAGAGCGAGCGAUCCGGACGCGCUCAUGAGACGCCGAUCGCACCAGUACAAGGUAGACGGAUCGGUUAAAACGCAUCGUCGGCUGCGAUUUGUUCUCUUGGUUAAAUAAAACUGUCCCUUUAUUAUGCGUCUGUGUAUAUCUCCGUAGUAUCUUGCUUCUUUAAUCAUGGGCUGCGUUCGGCAGAGAAAGCUGCUCUACGACCGCUGUAAAAUUCGUGAAUCUGGGAUUGACUCUUAGAUUCAGCCAAGAUCAAGAUUUAGCUUCACACAACUUCAACUGAAAUUUAACUCGUUGCAUAUGCGUAAGGAAAUCAAUCAAUCAUCCGUGCGAUAAAAAGAUCCCUCUUGAGUUAGAUACAUUUUAUAUUAGAUUAGUCAAUUUCUCUCUUUGUGCAUAUGAGCAAUGCGACUGUGCAAGUUUGUGACUUGAAUGAGUUAAGCUCCGGUUAAAGUAAGUUGUGGAACUGGGUCUAAGGAUACCAGUCAGGCUCACGAAUUUUACAACAGUUGCAAGGCAGAUUUCUCUGCUAAACGCAGUCAUUCACUGCAAAAGAACCGAAAGAUACUAUUUGGAAGCUUAAUAUUGUUCGUAACGACUGUUUUAGAAAACAAUGCGCGACAAUUAUAACAGAGGAUUCAACGUUGUUAUUAAAAAUUAGACCUCAAGACGUAUCUCUACGUUGCACAAGAAGAAACGGAAGAGGAGCUCGCGUACAGAACGGGCUUAACGAGGGUACGGCGGCUCCUUCUAGCUGGAAAUAUGCAAAUUCACGGAGGAGCCUGAGAAACACUUGGAAAAGGGGUCGCGCGCGCGAUGGACAAUUUUUUGACCAGGCCGUUCUUAAUGCCGGUGGCAGAAAAACCGACGAAAAAACCGAGGGAUCGGGCAACCGAGACGCCCUUCGACUUGACGCAACUCGUCGAAGAUCGAAUGUAGAAGAAUAUAGAAGAAGCAUCGAGAAAUCGAGAAUAUUCGGGAGUCAUCUUUAUCACUCUCUUUCUCUCUCUUAUUACGUUUCUUUUAUUUAACAUGCGAUAUAUAACGGAAUUGUAAUUACAGAUUAUAUCACAUAUACCGGUACCAUAUCUCAUUCUGCGGAAAGACGUAUUAGAAGACGAUACUUGAACGGAAAUGGCAAGUACACGAUUAAACGACAGGUGUUACUCAAUGCCUCGGUAAGUAAUAAGUACACAUUUACGUGCGAAAUCUCGUGCAAAAUCUGGGCAUGAUAGAGUUUCCUCGAGACACAUAAGACGGGCGUGUAUGUGUGUGUCAACUACAAGUAUAUUAAAUUACCUAUCUAGCACAUACACACAAAAUUACUAUAAAAAUAUAAGUUAUCGAAAUGUAAAAAAGUAGCUUAUGUAACUCUUACACCGCGAUAAGUGUUCAAUGGAGGUAAUCGAUACAAAUGUAAAAGCAAAUGCAAGUUUGUGCCAUUAUUAUCAGCGUGAGACGUUGUCCACGUCUCUACAUUAGUCUCUACGGUGCUCUUCAACGCAGAAGAGAACAAUUGCAUCUUACAUUCCCGAAAAAUAAGCGUAAGAAUUCUAUCUACCUAUCAACAGUAGAUAACUGCAUACGCAGAAACCUCGCGAAAUAUCGCGUGUUCUCGUAUUACAUGUGAGUAAAAAUAGAACCGGAUGUACGUUGAAUCAGCACACUAUUGUUAAUAUAGCUGCAACUUCAUUAUUCGGUAUCUUGACUGUCAUUCUCGAGAUCAUCCAUAGAUCUUUCAUGAAUUCUUCCUUUCGAGAUUUUCUCUUCACACAAAUAAAGAGAAUAAAGAGAGAAUAAAAUUUAUUGUCACAAAAUCCAGUAAAUAUGCGUGAAAGGUUUUACUUCUCUAUCUCCCUUAUGCUUUAUAUAAAAUCAUAAUCGAUAUAUAAUAUCGAUUAUAAUUAUAAUUGAACGAUUACAAUCAAAUGUCGUUUCGUAGCGAGACAGCACCAGCAAUCAUGAGGUGGAAAUAUCAAUCUUGGUUGAGUUUCUUAUAAUUGAUCUCAAUAUCAAGAGGAAAGAUCGAGGCUUAACCUUUCAUGCAAAUUCACUAAAAAUCCUAAUAAAAAAAAAUACGAAAAAUUGAAACAUAAAAUAUAAUAAAAAAAAGAACACAUCAGACGAAUAAUUCUUGAAUUACGCAAAUCGUCAAUAACAGACGCCAACUCGACUCAUGUUACGAUUAUUUAGCAUCGAUUUUUAGCACAAAAGCUUUCUAGGAACUCGUAGGCGCUCUAUUCUUAAAUCUACUUUGUAAUUUUGGGAGCGUUACGUCCAAUCACGCGCGUGGGUUCAUUUACGAGUAAUGGUAAAAUCUUUAGUAUAUGUAAUACUUUCUCGCGCGUUUUCACCGAUCUCUCUUGAACAAACAUGUAUUCACGUUAUGUUAAUCUCUCUUUUCGUUUGUUUGCAGAGUGCGAUUCGCAGAAAAUGCGACUGAUAGGGAAGUGCGGAUAUCCGCGAGUUUUCCAAGUCACGAUUUUAAGACGCUCUUUACAUCUAGAAACGUCAAUUUCUGACUCCGACAAAACACAGAAUCCCAAAAUAGAGAUUCUUGAAAAACGAAUUUGAAUGGCUCGACAAUGAUCUAUCCAUAAUAACCUUCGAUUAUUAACAACUAUAAAUAAAAACGAAAGCUGGGAAGCAUCGACGAUGUGUGGAACGAAAGCAAAUAAUUGCGGAAGGAUUUCGAGCGAUUAGAGACGACUAACGAAGCGUCACGGGCUUCGAGAAAUGUUCGGAUAUUUGUAAACAAUCGUAUUACAACCAAACAUACGCAAACCGCGCAUCCCUAGCAAUCUUGAUUUAGCGUUACAUUCGAUAUCACGAGAAUAUAUGUGUGUGUGUAUAAAGAGACGCCUUAUUAUUUUUUUCUCGGAUAUUCUAAUGGAAGCAUCGUGUGGGCAGUGUGAGGGAGUUUGUUCAUACACAACCGUAUUCGUACCAUAUCGGACUUCCAGUCUUUGGCUCUUUGUCGGCGGGCGGUUCCGUGAGCGCUUCAUCUUGCGCUGUGUCUUUCAUCGGGGUCCCAGCUACGUUCUUGGACUCGUUUAUGACUGCCGACACUUUGUUAUAGAUUAGAAAGGGACGCGACUCAACCUGCGUUUCCGAUUUUAAAUUCGGCUCUAUCUGCGCGUCGUCUCCUUGCUCCGGGUAAGAUUCACCCAGCAGUCUGUCCGCCUAAGUUUCAUAAAUUUCCUUGCUAAAUACAGUGCUCUUCGCGGUACGAUUGAUUUAUUGUCAGGCAUUUCUUACCGGCAAAGAAGCGGACGACGGCGGAGAAUCGUCAGUGUAGUAUACGGUUCUUCUGGUCCCGGCCUGUCCGAGCGCGUCUGACUCGAGCAUUCUGCUCGGACCUAAGAACAUUAUGCAAAAACAGAUCACAUACUGUUGACAUGGACUGACGAGUCAAGUUCGAUUGUUUUAAUGAAUAAUUUACCAGGUAAACGGUAAUCGUCGGUACUCGCAUCCGAGUCGUUCCCGGCUGUAUCCGAUUCGUAUGUCUUACAGUCCGACUGCUUGGAAUCUUCGGCCCACGAGCGUCGAUUCUAAUGAGAAUGUUUUGUAUUUUUUAUUCAACAAUAUUAUAGCUGGUGAAAUAUAUACUGUAUAAGUGUAUAAUAGUAAUAAUAUAAGUAAAAUCGACAGACGAGACGUAUGUAGAUGUGCAAAAGAUAUAUCAUGUAACGUAAAUAAAGUAUACAAAGACAA